GUCCACCGAGAAACGCUUCUGCCAGGCUUUCUCUUCAAAACUUAAGAAAAGCCUCAUCCUGCUCAAGACCUUUGUGCUCUCUUGCUGCUGAUUCUCAAUCUCCUCCUGUGUGUUAAGAAGAUCAAGUUGGGUCAUUUGUUUUCAGACUGUUGUCGACCCAGGAUAUGGAGCAGGUUUCAGUGAGGAAAAAAUAUUUUCAUUUACUUGGAGAAACAAGAGAUGGGUCGGGACCGUGUCACAUACACAUCCGGCUACAGAUCGGACGUACGCCAGAGCUGGUACAGCAAUAUUUACAGUGGAUGAAAUGUAGCCUACAAACGUGGGCAGUUAUUCACAGUUGCCUGCCAAAAUUCUGCUGACUAUUACUAUAACACACUCUUUACAGUCUAAUGUGCACAAUUAUUGUCAUUCAUAUAUUGAGUUUGACAGCAUUAUUAGGUAAAAUAAUACACUCAAGGCUUUUAACUUGUAUGUCAGAUCUGAUAAAUGACACAGACUAUUGUAUUUUACUUUUAAUGUGAAUUUAAAUGUGUUUAAGUGGUUGUAAUUGGAAUGUUCAGUAUAGCAUUAAAUAUAUAAGUUGUAAAAAUAAAUACACACAUAAUACAGUAUACAGGUUAUGUUAUUUAAGUUGUUGGAAAUACGAACAUACUUUGGACUUUGGUUAUAUUUAUUGAUCUCUCUCAGGUGUGCCAUUUGAUCAUAAGUAGAUUUAAUUUGCACUUUGACCUCUCGGCAUAUCUGUUUGUCAUUGAAAAUGAUAA
This is a long non-coding RNA of Misgurnus anguillicaudatus (oriental weatherfish), 764 nucleotides long. RefSeq lists it as uncharacterized. NCBI's taxonomy places the organism in Eukaryota, Metazoa, Chordata, Actinopteri, Cypriniformes, Cobitidae. The record is from RefSeq and is a predicted model, not a curated record.